AGCGAACGCUGGCGGCAGGCCUAAUACAUGCAAGUCGAGCGGAAGUUGGAGAGCUUGCUCUUCAACUUUAGCGGCGGACGGGUGAGUAACACGUGGGCAACCUGCCCUGCAGAUCGGGAUAACGCCGGGAAACCGGUGCUAAUACCGAAUAGUUUUUGCCACCUCCUGGUGGCGUACGGAAAGACGGUUUCGGCUGUCACUGCAGGAUGGGCCCGCGGCGCAUUAGCUAGUGGGUGGGGUAACGGCCCACCAAGGCGACGAUGCGUAGCCGACCUGAGAGGGUGAUCGGCCACACUGGGACUGAGACACGGCCCAGAUUCCUACGGGAGGCAGCAGUAGGGAAUCUUCCGCAAUGGACGAAAGUCUGACGGAGCAACGCCGCGUGAGUGACGAAGGUUUUCGGAUCGUAAAACUCUGUUGUGAGGGAAGAACAAGUACCACUUAACUACUGGUACCUUGACGGUACCUCACCAGAAAGCCACGGCUAACUACGUGCCAGCCGCCGCGGUAA
This 511-nucleotide ribosomal RNA is filed under the name uncultured bacterium. Its description in RNAcentral is "partial 16S ribosomal RNA". It matches the Rfam family "Bacterial small subunit ribosomal RNA", at positions 29 to 523 of the family's 1533-position model. The record is from RNAcentral.